This 1540-nucleotide long non-coding RNA is filed under the name Heterocephalus glaber (naked mole-rat). Its description in RNAcentral is "lncRNA (ENSHGLG00100034973.1)". Lineage: Eukaryota; Metazoa; Chordata; Mammalia; Rodentia; Bathyergidae. The record is from RNAcentral.
CAACUCUGAAGGCCUGAAGUGGCCACACAGAGAACCCGGGUUUUCCGGAGACCAAGGAUGAAGCUCCCUAUGAUUCUGCACCACCCUGUCUGUCCCUAACUUCGCUCUCUGGGGACCCAGCAGCAGCCACAGUGGCAGCACUGCCCUCCCGUGCCACCUGAUUGGCUGUCAAACCCUGCAGCUACCCCAAGCAAGCUGGCUACCUCGGUGGCCCCACAAAGCCACAGCCGUGCUGUGAAGCAGAGCUCCCUUCCCUGACCCGAGAGACACAAUGGAGCCUGGGCCGGAUGGAGAUGCCGACAAAACCCCAGGGGGACCACGUGUGACUACACGAAGCCUGGACACACCACGUGUGGAUGGGGCCUUCACCGUGCUUCCAAGUGACAGCUCUUCCCUGGUACACACCCAAUACUGUGUGCCCACACUGCUCCCAGCCUCCACCUGCUCUCCAAAUGACUCAAGUCCUCAAGGAUGACCAAGAUCCAGCCCUUCCUGCAGCGGGGACCCUGUGAGCUUCAGAGCCUCAAGUGCAAACCCGCAGGACACGAAUCGGCAGAUUUAAGUCACCCCCAAAAUGCUCCGACCUGAUCGUCCCCUCCUCAUCCUCCUCCCCAAGAAAGCUUAAUUUUAAAGGUGAUUUCAUCUCCAGCUUGCCGAGACAACGUAACUCAUUAGCUUAUACAGCUUUCUAGUACCCCUCGGAAUGAUCUUUAAAUGAAUGCAGAACUGCAUAGCUUGCCAAUAGAAUCGAAUUCAACGCGGCCAGGCAGACUGGACUCCGAGAGGUAGCUAAAGAAAGCAACACCAGAAAACUUGCACCAUAUUUAGCAGUUUUACUACAGCGGGAUACAGAAACGGCCCUGGAGGAGCGCGGCUGGAAGCCACUCGGAGCCUCGUUAGCGUCUGGCCCCAGCUCCAGCCCCAGCCCCACUGCUGUGGGACGAGAGGCUGGCUGGACUAGACACACAGUGUCCUUGGGCAAAGCAGAGGAGGGUGUCAGGAUCGCAGAGUGUCCAAGAAUCACAAGCAAUAAUGUGCGAAUCCCAAAGAUGUUUGUUUACCUUGGCUAUUAUUGUAGAAUAGUCAGAGUAUAACAUCAUGAACCAAAACAAUGUCAAAACAAAAUCUGUUCUGCUGUGGCACGUAUGUGACAGAGAAACAUGCACCCAAAGUACAUCAAAAGGCUCGAACUCUGGGGACUCGGAUGGUGAGUCAUUCCCAGGCUUGAUAUCAGAGGCCACCUCAAUCAUCAGACUUUAUCGAGAAGCCAGGGCCCAGGGAAGGUCUUGGUGGCCGAGCCCUCAGCCUUCCUCCAAGCUCAAGCAUCUGGGCUUUAUGGAGUGACACCCACUUCAGUGCCACAGCUGCCUCCCAGAGAAAGCCCAGGGCACUUGGCUGUCACACCGAGGUCAGCCUGGCCCACCACGGAGGACUUAAUCAUUAAUUGAAGGAAAAAGUACUGUUUCACCCCCUAGGGCUUUUUUUUCCAUCUCUGGCCUUCUUCCUGUCUUAAAUACAAAGGACGUGGAGAUGGAGAAAA